RNAcentral lists this transfer RNA (58 nucleotides) under Pectobacterium carotovorum. RNAcentral describes it as "tRNA-Met". It matches the Rfam family "tRNA", at positions 8 to 63 of the family's 71-position model. From Rfam's summary of the family: Transfer RNA (tRNA) molecules are approximately 80 nucleotides in length. Their secondary structure includes four short double-helical elements and three loops (D, anti-codon, and T loops). Lineage: Bacteria; Pseudomonadati; Pseudomonadota; Gammaproteobacteria; Enterobacterales; Pectobacteriaceae. The record is from RNAcentral. RNAcentral also lists the same sequence under 6 other names.
UAGCUCAGUGGUUAGAGCAGGCGACUCAUAAUCGCUUGGUCGCUGGUUCAAGUCCAGC